RNAcentral lists this ribosomal RNA (405 nucleotides) under uncultured bacterium. RNAcentral describes it as "bacterial SSU rRNA". It matches the Rfam family "Bacterial small subunit ribosomal RNA", at positions 541 to 949 of the family's 1533-position model. The record is from RNAcentral.
UUAUCCGGAUUUAUUGGGUUUAAAGGGCGCGUAGGCGGGACGGUAAGUCAGCGGUAAAAGACUGCAGCUAAACUGUAGCACGCCGUUGCAACUGUUGACCUAGAGACGAGACGAGGGAGGCGGAACAAGUGAAGUAGCGGUGAAAUGCAUAGAUAUCACUUGGAACCCCGAUAGCGAAGGCAGCUUCCCAGGCUCGUUCUGACGCUGAUGCGCGAGAGCGUGGGUAGCGAACAGGAUUAGAUACCCUGGUAGUCCACGCCGUAAACGAUGCUCACUGGAUCUUGGCGAUACACGGCCAGGGUUCAAGCGAAAGUAUUAAGUGAGCCACCUGGGGAGUACGUCGGCAACGAUGAAACUCAAAGGAAUUGACGGGGGCCCGCACAAGCGGAGGAACAUGUGGUUUAA